UAUAUGAGGCCCCAAAUCGCUACCCUUACAUUCUCCCUAACCUGCGUAUCCCAGGCUUUCGCUUACCUUAUCCUAUCCUCACUCACGCUAUUUCUUUUUCUAUCUCUCUCUCUCUCGCAAUCUAUAUUCUCUCCCUAACCACUCUUUCUCUUCUCUCUUAAUUCCCUCACCAUCUCUCUUCUAUCUCAUUCAUUUCCACACUAUAUAUCAAUCUUCUUAUACAGCAGCUUCGUCGGUGCUUUAAUUUUCUUUUGCGCCAUCCAAAUAAUAACAAUAUAUAUAUCUUCUUACUUUCUUUCUUUUAAUAUAAAGAAAAAUUCCAGAGCUCGAAACGACGGAGAUGCUGUUUCUAUUUCGUCUCUCACUUCACAUGCACAGAUAUUUCUGUUUUCUCUACUCGAUGAAUCCAACUAUUGUUUCUUAGUAAUUUCCGUCCACGAGAAGCUAGCUGCCGAAGGUGUAUAAAUUUUCCGAAACGUCUAAUCACUAUUAAUUCGACUGAUUGAUUCCUUCCGUUCCACUGCAAUGGCUCCCAAAACUGGCAAAACCAAACCGCACAAGGCCAAGGGAGACAAGAAGAAAAGAGAAGAGAAAGUUUUGCCCACCGUCAUCGAAAUUACAGUAGAAACACCAGACGAAUCACAAGUUACUCUCAAGGGCAUCUCCACGGAUAGGAUCCUAGACGUGAGAAAACUUUUAGCGGUACACGUUGAGACUUGUUCCUUGACCAAUUUUUCCUUAUCUCAUGAGGUAAGCUUCUUCUGUACUUUUUUUUUUAA
This is a non-coding RNA of Vigna umbellata (rice bean), 779 nucleotides long. The record is from RefSeq and is a predicted model, not a curated record. Lineage: Eukaryota; Viridiplantae; Streptophyta; Magnoliopsida; Fabales; Fabaceae.